GAGUUUGAUCCUGGCUCAGAACGAACGCUGGCGGCAUGCCUAACACAUGCAAGUCGAACGAGAAAGCCCUUCGGGGUGAGUAAAGUGGCGAACGGGUGAGUAACACGUGGGCAACCUGCCCCUCGCAGGGGGACAACCGGAGGAAACUCCGGCUAAUACCCCGUACGUUCCCAGGGUCGCAUGGCCUUGGGAGGAAAGGUAGCUUCGGCCAUCCGGCGAGGGAUGGGCCCGCGGUGCAUUAGCUAGUUGGUGGGGUAACGGCUCACCAAGGCGACGAUGCAUAGCUGGUCUGAGAGGAUGAUCAGCCACACUGGGACUGAGACACGGCCCAGACUCCUACGGGAGGCAGCAGCCAGGAAUCUUGGGCAAUGGGCGCAAGCCUGACCCAGCAACACCGUGUGGGCGAUGAAGGCCUUCGGGUCGUAAAGCCCUGUUGAUAGGGACGAAGGGCGAAGGGUUAAUAGCCCCCAGCCUGACGGUACCUUUCGAGGAAGCCCCGGCUAACUACGUGCCAGCAGCCGCGGUAA
Molecule: ribosomal RNA, 527 nt
Filed under: uncultured Actinomycetes bacterium
Lineage: Bacteria; Bacillati; Actinomycetota; Actinomycetes
Description: bacterial SSU rRNA
Rfam family: Bacterial small subunit ribosomal RNA
Source: RNAcentral